Molecule: ribosomal RNA, 517 nt
Filed under: Pyricularia grisea
Lineage: Eukaryota; Fungi; Ascomycota; Sordariomycetes; Magnaporthales; Pyriculariaceae
Description: eukaryotic LSU rRNA
Rfam family: 5.8S ribosomal RNA (bases 126-279)
Source: RNAcentral
CAUUACUGAGUUGAAACUCCACCCCUGUGAACUAACCUCUGUCGUUGCUUCGGCGGGCACGCCCGCCGGAGGUUCAAAACUCUUAUUUUUUUCAUUAUCUCUGAGCCUAAAAGACAAAUAAUCAAAACUUUCAACAACGGAUCUCUUGGUUCUGGCAUCGAUGAAGAACGCAGCGAAAUGCGAUAAGUAAUGUGAAUUGCAGAAUUCAGUGAAUCAUCGAAUCUUUGAACGCACAUUGCGCCCGCCGGUAUUCCGGCGGGCAUGCCUGUUCGAGCGUCAUUUCAACCCUCAAGCCUCGGCUUGGUGUUGGGGCGCCCGGGCCCUCCGCGGCCCGGGGCCCCCAAGUUCAUCGGCGGGCUCGUCGGUACACUGAGCGCAGUAAAACGCGGUAAAACGCGAACCUCGUUCGGAUCGUCCCGGCGUGCUCCAGCCGCUAAACCCCCAAUUCUUUAAAGGUUGACCUCGGAUCAGGUAGGAAUACCCGCUGAACUUAAGCAUAUCAAUAAGCGGAGGAACA